This 456-nucleotide ribosomal RNA is filed under the name Triticum aestivum (bread wheat). Its description in RNAcentral is "partial small subunit ribosomal RNA". Lineage: Eukaryota; Viridiplantae; Streptophyta; Magnoliopsida; Poales; Poaceae. The record is from RNAcentral.
AUGGCGGCGUUAGUCGGUGUCAUGGCCUUGGCUUUCGCUGGUCUAGUGCCAUUGAGAUCUUUGGCUUAUCUCGCUAGAAAAUGCGGCAAGAAAGAUUUAGCUCCGCGCCGUGACCAUCUAGCAGACGACGCGGCCUGUUGCUUCAUGUGGGCUUUUAAUCAGUUGCGCUCCAUUCUGGGCUACGGCGGCAACGGCGGCGGGGUCGCCGACGGCGAACAUAAAUGUUCAGAUUGCUUGCUGCCCCGGAGGCAACAUGGUGAUCGGGAACCAAGUUCAAGGUUCCCCAUGAGGUGCAUUUCUUAUUCUGAAUCUUGCUUGAACCCAUGGAUUUAUAUCGUCAGACUAAUUCAUGAUUUCAUUGUGCGUAGGUGGCGAUUUUCUCAGGUGAAGCAGAAGCAGGAGACCCCGGGGGAAGGCGUGUCUGUCAGGACCCAAGAUUCUGAAGAAAUGAAGUAA